UUCCGUUAAUUGAUUAUGACGUACUUGUACUGAUUGAGAUUUUAACACGAAGUGAGUGGCGAACGGGUGAGUAACACGUGGGUAACCUGCUCAGAAGUAGGGGAUAACACCUGGAAACAGAUGCUAAUACCGUAUAACAGAGAAAACCGCAGGGUUUUCUUUUAAAAGAUGGCUCUGCUAUCACUUCUGGAUGGACCCGCGGCGUAUUAGCUAGUUGGUGAGGAAAGGCUCACCAAGGCAGUGAUACGAGCCGACCUGAAGGGAAUCGGCCACAUUGGGACUGAGACACGGCCCAGACUCCUACGGGAGGCAGCAGUAGGGAAUCUUCCACAAUGGACGCAAGUCUGAUGGAGCAACGCCGCGUGAGUGAAGAAGGGUUUCGGCUCGUAAAGCUCUGUUGUUAAAGAAGAACGUGGGUAAGAGUAACUGUUUACCCAGUGACGGUAUUUAACCAGAAAGCCACGGCUAACUACGUGCCAGCAGCCGCGGUAAUACGUAGGUGGCAAGCGUUAUCCGGAUUUAUUGGGCGUAAAGCGAGCGCAGGCGGUCUUUUAAGUCUAAUGUGAAAGCCUUCGGCUCAACCGAAGAAGUGCAUUGGAAACUGGGAGACUUGAGUGCAGAAGAGGACAGUGGAACUCCAUGUGUAGCGGUGAAAUGCGUAGAUAUAUGGAAGAACACCAGUGGCGAAGGCGGCUGUCUGGUCUGCAACUGACGCUGAGGCUCGAAAGCAUGGGUAGCGAACAGGAUUAGAUACCCUGGUAGUCCAUGCCGUAAACGAUGAUUACUAAGUGUUGGAGGGUUUCCGCCCUUCAGUGCUGCAGCUAACGCAUUAAGUAAUCCGCCUGGGGAGUACGACCGCAAGGUUGAAACUCAAAAGAAUUGACGGGGGCCCGCACAAGCGGUGGAGCAUGUGGUUUAAUUCGAAGCUACGCGAAGAACCUUACCAGGUCUUGACAUCUUCUGACAGUCUAAGAGAUUAGAGGUUCCCUUCGGGGACAGAAUGACAGGUGGUGCAUGGUUGUCGUCAGCUCGUGUCGUGAGAUGUUGGGUUAAGUCCCGCAACGAGCGCAACCCUUAUUACUAGUUGCCAGCAUUAAGUUGGGCACUCUAGUGAGACUGCCGGUGACAAACCGGAGGAAGGUGGGGACGACGUCAAAUCAUCAUGCCCCUUAUGACCUGGGCUACACACGUGCUACAAUGGAUGGUACAACGAGUCGCGAGACCGCGAGGUUAAGCUAAUCUCUUAAAACCAUUUUCAGUUCGGACUGUAGGUGGCAACUCGCCUACACGAAGUCGGAAUCGCUAGUAAUCGCGGAUCAGCAUGCCGCGGUGAAUACGUUCCCGGCCCUUGUACACACCGCCCGUCACACCAUGAGAGUUUGUAACACCCAAAGCCGGUGGGGUAA
This 1406-nucleotide ribosomal RNA is filed under the name Pediococcus pentosaceus. RNAcentral describes it as "bacterial SSU rRNA". It matches the Rfam family "Bacterial small subunit ribosomal RNA", at positions 68 to 1438 of the family's 1533-position model. The record is from RNAcentral. Lineage: Bacteria; Bacillati; Bacillota; Bacilli; Lactobacillales; Lactobacillaceae.